CUUGGUCAUUUAGAGGAAGUAAAAGUCGUAACAAGGUCUCCGUUGGUGAACCAGCGGAGGGAUCAUUACCGAGUUUACAACUCCCAAACCCCUGUGAACAUACCUAUACGUUGCCUCGGCGGAUCAGCCCGCGCCCUGUAAAACGGGACGGCCCGCCCGAGGACCCCUAAACUCUGUUUUUAGUGGAACUUCUGAGUAAAACAAACAAAUAAAUCAAAACUUUCAACAACGGAUCUCUUGGUUCUGGCAUCGAUGAAGAACGCAGCAAAAUGCGAUAAGUAAUGUGAAUUGCAGAAUUCAGUGAAUCAUCGAAUCUUUGAACGCACAUUGCGCCCCUUGGUAUUCCAUGGGGCAUGCCUGUUCGAGCGUCAUUUGUACCCUCAAGCUUUGCUUGGUGUUGGGCGUUUUGUCUUUUUAUUAAGACUCGCCUCAAAGUAAUUGGCAGCCAGUGUUUUGGUAGUAAGCGCAGCACAUUUUGCGUCUUGGUCCCUCAACAGCGGCAUCCACAAAGCCUCUUUUUCACUUUUGACCUCGGAUCAGGUAGGGAUACCCGCUGAACUUAAGCAUAUCAAUAAGCGGAGGA
This 583-nucleotide ribosomal RNA is filed under the name uncultured fungus. RNAcentral's name for it is "eukaryotic LSU rRNA". The stretch from base 218 to 371 matches the Rfam family "5.8S ribosomal RNA". Lineage: Eukaryota; Fungi. The record is from RNAcentral.